UACGAAGGGGGCUAGCGUUGUUCGGAAUCACUGGGCGUAAAGCGCACGUAGGCGGAUCUUUAAGUCAGAGGUGAAAGCCUGGAGCUCAACUCCAGAACUGCCUUUGAUACUGGGGAUCUCGAGUCCGGGAGAGGUGAGUGGAACUGCGAGUGUAGAGGUGAAAUUCGUAGAUAUUCGCAAGAACACCAGUGGCGAAGGCGGCUCACUGGCCCGGUACUGACGCUGAGGUGCGAAAGCGUGGGGAGCGAACAGG
Molecule: ribosomal RNA, 253 nt
Filed under: uncultured bacterium
Lineage: Bacteria
Description: partial 16S ribosomal RNA
Rfam family: Bacterial small subunit ribosomal RNA
Source: RNAcentral